UCAGCACUAAGCCAUUUUGCCUUUAUAGUAAAUAUGGGAUGCAGUGUAUGGAACAUCAAUAAUCUAGUAUGAGAAAUUAACGAUUUAAGUCCUUCUUAAAUGAGGCCAUUUACCCAUAGAGGGUGCCAGGCCCGUAUAACGUUAAUGAUUAUUAGAAGAUGUUUCCAAAGAGUCGUGUUGCUUGAUAGUGCAGCACUAAGUUGGUGGUAAACUCCAUCUAAAACUAAAUAUAACCAUGAGACCGAUAGUAAACAAGUACCGUGAGGGAAAGUUGAAAAGAACUCUGAAUAGAGAGUUAAAUAGUACGUGAAACUGCUUAGAGGUUAAACCCGAUGAACCUGAAUAUCCAUUAUGGAAAAUUCAAUGCUAAUAAAAUAGUAUGCAAUUUUUCCAUAUAAGGACAUUGUAAUCUGUUAAUGUAAUAAAUAUUUAUCAAAAGAUUCAUUACUUAAGUUUAUUCAAAUUCAACAUAAAAUAAAUGUAUUGAAUUGGAUAAAUCGUUGACAGAUAUAAUUAUAUAUGGUGCUCAAAUUUUACGGAAUUUUACAAUGUUGUUUGCGCUAUUAUGAUUAACAAUGCGAUAGAUUCAGGAUACCUUCGGGACCCGUCUUGAAACACGGACCAAGGAGUCUAACAUAUGUGCAAGUCAUUGGGUAUUUAUAAUAAAACCCAAUGGCAUAAUUAACUUAACUUAUGGGAUUAAUUUAUAUUUAUUCAAUCCCGGGGCGUUCUAUAUAGUUAUGUAUAAUAGUAUUUAUAUUAUUUAUACCUCUAACUGGAGCGUACCUUGAGCAUAUAUGCUGUGACCCGAAAGAUGGUGAACUAUACUUGAUCAGGUUGAAGUCAGGGGAAACCCUGAUGGAAGACCGAAACAGUUCUGACGUGCAAAUCGAUUGUCAGAAUUGAGUAUAGGGGCGAAAGACUAAUCGAACCAU
Molecule: ribosomal RNA, 935 nt
Filed under: Ocyptamus fuscipennis
Lineage: Eukaryota; Metazoa; Arthropoda; Insecta; Diptera; Syrphidae
Description: eukaryotic LSU rRNA
Rfam family: Eukaryotic large subunit ribosomal RNA
Source: RNAcentral